AGGUUAAUAUUCCUGUACUUGGUGUUACUGCGAAGGGGGGACGGAGAAGGCUAUGUUGGCCGGGCGACGGUUGUCCCGGUUUAAGCGUGUAGGCUGGUUUUCCAGGCAAAUCCGGAAAAUCAAGGCUGAGGCGUGAUGACGAGGCACUACGGUGCUGAAGCAACAAAUGCCCUGCUUCCAGGAAAAGCCUCUAAGCAUCAGGUAACAUCAAAUCGUACCCCAAACCGACACAGGUGGUCAGGUAGAGAAUACCAAGGCGCUUGAGAGAACUCGGGUGAAGGAACUAGGCAAAAUGGUGCCGUAACUUCGGGAGAAGGCACGCUGAUAUGUAGGUGAAGUCCCUUGCGGAUGGAGCUGAAAUCAGUCGAAGAUACCAGCUGGCUGCAACUGUUUAUUAAAAACACAGCACUGUGCAAACACGAAAGUGGACGUAUACGGUGUGACGCCUGCCCGGUGCCGGAAGGUUAAUUGAUGGGGUCAGCGCAAGCGAAGCUCUUGAUCGAAGCCCCGGUAAACGGCGGCCGUAACUAUAACGGUCCUAAGGUAGCGAAAUUCCUUGUCGGGUAAGUUCCGACCUGCACGAAUGGCGUAAUGAUGGCCAGGCUGUCUCCACCCGAGACUCAGUGAAAUUGAACUCGCUGUGAAGAUGCAGUGUACCCGCGGCAAGACGGAAAGACCCCGUGAACCUUUACUAUAGCUUGACACUGAACAUUGAGCCUUGAUGUGUAGGAUAGGUGGGAGGCUUUGAAGUGUGGACGCCAGUCUGCAUGGAGCCGGCCUUGAAAUACCACCCUUUAAUGUUUGAUGUUCUAACGUGGACCCGUGAUCCGGGUUGCGGACAGUGUCUGGUGGGUAGUUUGACUGGGGCGGUCUCCUCCUAAAGAGUAACGGAGGAGCACGAAGGUUGGCUAAUCCUGGUCGGACAUCAGGAGGUUAGUGCAAUGGCAUAAGCCAGCUUGACUGCGAGCGUGACGGCGCGAGCAGGUGCGAAAGCAGGUCAUAGUGAUCCGGUGGUUCUGAAUGGAAGGGCCAUCGCUCAACGGAUAAAAGGUACUCCGGGGAUAACAGGCUGAUACCGCCCAAGAGUUCAUAUCGACGGCGGUGUUUGGCACCUCGAUGUCGGCUCAUCACAUCCUGGGGCUGAAGUAGGUCCCAAGGGUAUGGCUGUUCGCCAUUUAAAGUGGUACGCGAGCUGGGUUUAGAACGUCGUGAGACAGUUCGGUCCCUAUCUGCCGUGGGCGCUGGAGAACUGAGGGGGGCUGCUCCUAGUACGAGAGGACCGGAGUGGACGCAUCACUGGUGUUCGGGUUGUCAUGCCAAUGGCACUGCCCGGUAGCUAAAUGCGGAAGAGAUAAGUGCUGAAAGCAUCUAAGCACGAAACUUGCCCCGAGAUGAGUUCUCCCUGACCCUUUAAGGGUCCUGAAGGAACGUUGAAGACGACGACGUUGAUAGGCCGGGUGUGUAAGCGCAGCGAUGCGUUGAGCUAACCGGUACUAAUGAACCGUGAGG
Molecule: ribosomal RNA, 1509 nt
Filed under: Shigella sonnei
Lineage: Bacteria; Pseudomonadati; Pseudomonadota; Gammaproteobacteria; Enterobacterales; Enterobacteriaceae
Description: partial 23S ribosomal RNA
Rfam family: Bacterial large subunit ribosomal RNA
Source: RNAcentral